This is a long non-coding RNA of Anguilla anguilla (European eel), 1348 nucleotides long. RefSeq lists it as uncharacterized. The record is from RefSeq and is a predicted model, not a curated record. The transcript has 3 exons. NCBI's taxonomy places the organism in Eukaryota, Metazoa, Chordata, Actinopteri, Anguilliformes, Anguillidae.
GGUAUAUCGAUUAAACAUGUCCUACGAAUAGCUAUAAGUAUUAAACUUUCAGCGAAAAUAAGAAUCGGAGGAUAAAAACUGAGAAAAUAACAAGUUGUUAAUUUAAGUUUCAUGAAAGUUGUCAGUUGUCAACUUUAUGCGAGACUGUCGGCGUGCACAUACCACACAUGCGUUUAUAAUGAUGGGAUUUAAAUGUUUCUUAAAACUAAACAACUAAACCGGUGUGCUCUUUUAUCAUUAAAUAAGGACUAUUUGACACUCAUAAUGAGGAAGGACACAAUAUUAUACUCAAGAGGUGAAUAAGUCAUAUUGCAGCCCUGUUGCAUCAGCUCUACAGACCGCAGAGAAGACUCGUUGGAUGUCGUCAGUCUGUCGCUGCUUCAUUGGCUCGGUUUUCCUACAGAACGGCCCUUCAUUAUUGUCCUGAUGGAUGCGGCAUUUUGUCUGAGAAAGUUCGCCGGAGUCGCAAAGAUUGUGGUCCUGAUGCAAUCUUCAUGACUGUGGCAGUAAUGGAGAUGGAGAGCUUGCUGAUGCUCUGUGAGUCUCCAAGGAAGACUCUGACACCUCACUGCUUUAAUUGGUCCAAGGAGGCUUGUUUGUGCAGAUUGAGAGCAGCGCUGCAAGAGAAACACAUGGUACCUCACUUGGGUCUUUAUAGUUGUUAGCACAUCUUAAGCCUGUUUUUUGUGUUGAUGUCUGAAAAUAGGGACAGCAUGGUUCGUAAAAAGUGUACAAUUAUCAAAACUGUAAGCGCUAAGGGAGAACAGUCUGACCAAAUGCCACUCUGCCAAACUCCAAACCUUUCAUAUUUGUAAGUGAGCAUGUCAUGUCAUUCGUAUAUGAAAUUUGUGAUCCUAAGUGUAAUUUAAAUUAUUUAAAUUCAUCUGCAAUGUACAACUGUAUUAUACAAUGGCAGAAAACUGGAAAACUGAUUUCCAUGUCAAAAAAUAACAAUUAUUUGUUUUCACACAAAUGGGUAGCAUCAAUAAAAAAUAAGUUUUCCUUGGGUUACCAGGCUCUUUGUGAUUUCAGAGCUCACCAGUGCUCUCUUCCUUCUUAAUGGUGUUCCAAACAAUUGGUUUUGGUUAGCCAAAAGGUUUGGCCAAUGCCUGACAGUUUUUUCCCCUCUUAUUUCUCAGCCUCAUAAUUGUUUCCUUGACUUUCAUUGGCAGUACUUUGGUCCUUGUGUUGACAAAUGGCAAUAAAAGUCUCUAAAGGCAAUCAAAAGCCUAGAAUCAAAACUAGAUACUUAAAGCUAUAACUGAAACUUAUACCUGGACUAAGGAAACAAUUGAACACACCUGACUUAUCAGAAACACCUGUGACAGAAUUUAUCCCAAACAUUAUG